This is a non-coding RNA of Nicotiana tabacum (common tobacco), 741 nucleotides long. NCBI's taxonomy places the organism in Eukaryota, Viridiplantae, Streptophyta, Magnoliopsida, Solanales, Solanaceae. The record is from RefSeq and is a predicted model, not a curated record.
UAAGGAUCGAGGCAUAGCUAUUGUGUAUAGCUACCUAAGAACAAGAAUUGAUCCUCAGUAGCUGCUCAAACCUGCUAUAUACAUGUAAAGGAUGUUUUACCUUGGAAGAUAGCAAAUGCACAUGAAACCUGGUAGUGGUUAAUACAACUGCCCAAAGGAAUUGGGUCAAAAAGGAAUUUUGAAUUAUCUUGCUAACUCUUCUGGUCUGUUUAUUGACACAAUGAGUUACUAGCACUGUGCAUGGGUGGCUUAAAAUGACAUGCUAUAUGGCCCGUGGUUUCUCUAUCCAAUUCGUAAGGAAGCUGUUGAUAUUCUAAGCCCUGGUUAUAAGGAAAGCUUUGAACCGAUUGUAAGUUCAUUGUUAGAGGUACAGAGAACGAGAUGCACCUGGGGAGAUCGUUGCGAUUUGCAAUGACAAAAACAUUUGGCAAGUCCGCGACUGAUAUUAUAUUUGUUGCUCUUUCAGUACUUUUAAUCACCUUUUAGCUGUUUCAAGUGUCGGAACCAGGUGUUGGACCGAGCUAUGAGUAGCCAUGUUCUGUUGCUGAGGAUUCGUAAAGAGACGAGGUAAAGCUGUAUUUCGGCCGUAGUCUUUGACGUCUCUUUUCAUUUCUGUAUUGUUGCUUUCAUUCGGACAAUAUUUUAUUUUGUAUUCCAGACUUGUACUUCUGUUUUAGAGCUCACGACUCUGUAUUUACCAGUUCUGGGGGAUUUUAUAUAUUGACGCAAUUAUUUAUGUUA